AAAGCCUGCAGAAGCCAGGGAAGCUCCUCACUGCCCGCAGAGCAAAGGGGUGUGAGGAUUUGGAGUGCCUCUUUCCCCGCUCCGAGCUGUCUUUUUUACCCUCUUCCUAACUUGAAAAAAAAAUCUUCGCAGCAUCUAACCCAAUCACUCGCAUCCUGCUUACUUAUUCAUACAAUCAGGGUCAGGAUCCGGGCCACAGCCUCCUCUCUGACUUCGUUUGAUAGCCUUAUACAAACAAACAGACACGAGCGCGCUGACAUUUCCAUUUCUAUUUUGCUAAAGAUAAAAACGAAUGUAUUCCUCAUCUGCCCUCCAUGAACAGCAAUUAAUAGAUGAGGUACGUGUCGAUGCACAGCGCCAGACCGGGGGUGGCGCGAGGGAUCGUGACAACUUCACUGCAAAUCUCCCCAUGCUGCCCCCACCCCGCCCCCAGAUAAACAGGCAGUGUGUUUCUUUGCAUGACUGCUGUGUAACCUUCCUACCGCCUGAGAGUGGAAGUAUCUGACCCCCCCUGUCUGUUUUAGGUAAGAAAAUAGAGUUCUGUUCAAAGUCAGUCUCCCAACCAACAAAGUUUUACUAAGAACUGGAAAAAUCAAUUAAAAAAAUAAUAAUCGAGUUCCAGAUCGCACCAGCAGGAAACUCUAAGUAAGCCCUCGGUGAUGGGCUGGCGCGAGGGCUCACGUGGGCGCGGGACGGGAAGUUGGAAGUAAUACUCGCCACGCACAUUUUCUGACAGAUCUGGCGCCCGUGCCCAGCGCCUCCUAGUACCCUUCGGCUUCACCGCUUCGCUUGUUUGACUUCCUCCCUAGGACAGGGUGUAAGAGUCCGCAGCUGGAUCAGAGACGUAAACCACACAUCAGCCGAGCAGACUCAAGACAAACACAGGUUCUGCCUGUCCACCUUGGAGACAGAGUUCCUUGUCUCCCGAGCUGCUGGUCUACAAGGUUCUGUAACUUCUCUGAUUUCUGCCUCCUGCCUUGCUUCAGGAAUGCUGAACUUACAGAUGUGUAAAAAGAAUACUUCGUGUUGAUAGCAUUUUCUGGAUGAAAUGUAAAUACUUCAAUCAAAUACAUUUCCAUGAGAAGAAACUCCUCAGACCUCCAUGGAAUUUAACCUCUACACUUUUUUCCCUAAAAAUUGUAAACAAUGGCUUUAAAAAAGUAUUAAUUUUCA
Long non-coding RNA from Mesocricetus auratus (golden hamster), 1173 nucleotides. RefSeq lists it as uncharacterized. The transcript is spliced from 3 exons. Lineage: Eukaryota; Metazoa; Chordata; Mammalia; Rodentia; Cricetidae. The record is from RefSeq and is a predicted model, not a curated record.